AUACACAUUCUCAAAUAUAGUUUUAGUUCUUAGUAGUGAAGAAAUACUAUUCCGGUGAUUCAUAUAUUCCGGGUAGUACACAAAACAUUCCGGCAAGGAGAGAAGCUAGGACUCAAGAGUGUUCAUUAAGUCUUCCGGUACCAACUAAAGCUUUGGUUUCCAGGGAUCGGUGCUCCUCCUCGUUCUCCUCCACGUGGCUAGUUGAUAUUCCAUUGAAGACUACUUUUGGUGAGUUCCCAUGUUCCGGGAACAAUACUCCUUUGUCUUUCUAGCUUAUGAUAUGUUAAGAUAUUUUAUUAUGACAUUUCUUCUAUUAUGAUUGAGGGUGAGCUAGGAACUUGUCUUAGCCCCAUUAAAUCUAAUAGUUAGAGGUAUUGUUGGACAUAUGUAAGUUGAAGAUUUAUUAUUAUUAUGA
Solanum dulcamara is the source of this 415-nucleotide long non-coding RNA. RefSeq lists it as uncharacterized. NCBI's taxonomy places the organism in Eukaryota, Viridiplantae, Streptophyta, Magnoliopsida, Solanales, Solanaceae. The record is from RefSeq and is a predicted model, not a curated record. The transcript has 2 exons.